This 486-nucleotide ribosomal RNA is filed under the name uncultured bacterium. RNAcentral describes it as "partial 16S ribosomal RNA". It matches the Rfam family "Bacterial small subunit ribosomal RNA", at positions 28 to 507 of the family's 1533-position model. The record is from RNAcentral.
GAUGAACGCUGGCGGCGUGCCUAAUACAUGCAAGUCGAACGCUGGAAAUCUAGCUUGCUAGAUUGAAGGAGUGGCGAACGGGUGAGUAAUACAUAAGCAACCUACUCACGAAGACUGGGAUAAUCUCUGGAAACGGGGACUAAUACCGGAUAGGUAAUCGGAAGGCAUCUUCUGAUUAUUAAAGGUUAAAAACACUGGUGGAUGGGCUUAUGGCGCAUUAGUUAGUUGGUGAGGUAACGGCCCACCAAGACGAUGAUGCGUAGCCGGCCUGAGAGGGUGAACGGCCACAUUGGGACUGAGACACGGCCCAGACUCCUACGGGAGGCAGCAGUAGGGAAUUUUCGGCAAUGGGGGAAACCCUGACCGAGCAACGCCGCGUGAGUGAUGACGGCCUUCGGGUUGUAAAGCUCUGUUGUAAGGGAAGAACGGUAGAUAGAGAAUAUCUAAAUGACGGUACCUUACCAGAAAGCCACGGCUAACUACGUG